AUGGCGCAGCAGAUAGAGCACACCCACCUCCUCCUCCGUGGGCUCAACCUCCACCUUGCUCAAGUAGGCAAAGAUGAGCUUGGGACGGUGGUGUUCUUGCACGGCUUCCCGGAGAUAUGGUACACGUGGCGCCACCAGAUGCUGGCCGUGGCCGCCGCCGGGUACCGCGCCAUCGCGCCCGACAGCCGCGGCUACGGGCUCUCCGACCAGCCGGCGGAGGACGUGGAGGCCACCUGGGAGGACCUCGUCGCCGACGUGCUCGCCAUCCUCGACGCCCUCUCCAUCCACAAGGUGUUCCUGGUGGGCAAGGACUACGGCGCCAUGCCGGCGUACGACUUCGCGCUGCGGCACCCGGACCGCACCCGCGGCGUCAUGUGCAUGGGCAUCCCCUUCAGCCCGGGGCCCUUCAACUUCGACACCAUGCCGGAGGGGUUCUACAUCCUGCGGUGGCGCGAGCCCGACAGGGCGGAGGCCGACUUCGGCCGGCACGACGUCCGCCGCGUGGUGCGCACCAUCUACAUCCUCUUCUCCCGCAGCGACGUCCCGAUCGCGGAGGAAGGGCAGGAGAUCAUGGACCUCGCCGACCUCUCCACGCCCCUGCCGCCGUGGUUCACCGAGGAGGACCUCGACGCCUACGCCGCGCUCUACGAGAAGUCCGGCUUCCGCUACCCUCUCCAGAUACCAUACAGGUCUCUGCACAGGAUGACGAAGCACGUGGACCCCAAGUUCCAGGUCCCCGUGUUCAUGGUGAUGGGGGAGAAGGACUACUGCUUCAAGUUCCCUGGUUUCGAGGCCGCCAUGAGGAGCGGCGUCAUGAACACCUUCGCGCCGAACCUCAAGAUCACCUACAUCCCUGAAGGAAGCCACUUCGUGCAGGAGCAGUUCCCGGACCAGAUCAACGACCUCCUACUCGGCUUCCUCAAGGACCAUCCCUGA
RNAcentral lists this ribosomal RNA (936 nucleotides) under Triticum aestivum (bread wheat). Its description in RNAcentral is "partial small subunit ribosomal RNA". Lineage: Eukaryota; Viridiplantae; Streptophyta; Magnoliopsida; Poales; Poaceae. The record is from RNAcentral.